GUCCACUCCAACGGGUCACCUGUACAGCAAGAGCAAGAGUGUGAGCUGGUGUAAACAAAGCCCCGCGUAGUGGACGACUGGUGUGUGGCUCGCCCCUGGAUCUGGAUCUGGAUUAAUGAUGCGCAGAGCACCCGUACAGUGCCGAUGACCUGCUGCCAGAACGACGGCCUGCCAACACCCGCCACGCUGACGGGGCUGUGGAGGCCCUGACAUACUCCACAAGUAGAGAAAAGUGCACUGUGAGGGUGUUGUCCUGAGCAGCAGGAGGCGAGGCAGAAGGAGAGUGUGACGCAUCUCAAGGGGCCCUACAAACCUUCUUGAAUCUCUUAUAUUGAAUCUGAAUCAAGGUAGGCUAUAAUUUAAUGACUACUUACCAAUGAUUGAACAGUAUUAAAUCUGCGGGCGAAACACCGCUGGAUGGCAGAGAGUGGUGCUGGCUGGUUGCUGGCAGGAAGGCAGGAGGGGACGCGGGUGAUGAUGCUGACGAUGGUUUGGCAGGAAAUUUGGUUUUAUGUUCUUGGAAGGCACUCACAAAUUAUGCCGUGCAAAGCUGUUUAUCAUUUCCUUAGUUAAAUACACUGUACACUGUACAGUGCGAGUAGUACGGUGCACAACUAUAUGUAUAUAGUUUGGUCAACAUUUUAUUUAUUUAUUUAUUUUUUUUCCUUUAUUCCAAUUUUGGAUCUUUGUCAGUGAAAACCGGGGACAUUUCCGGGGACAGCAGUAGCCGGGGACAGGUCACUGAAAACGGGGACUGUCCCCGGAAACCGGGGACGUCUGGUCACCCUAUGUUAGCAGCUCACCCUGCAGCAGCCUGUCGCCAUAGCCACACCGCAUGCACAAACACAUACGCUCUCCACCACUGAAAGUUACUACACUUUCGUCAUAUCUCAGCACACACGCAGUGCAGAGACUUCUGGUUGGCUUCACUCGAAAGAGGAAGACUUGAAGGAAAGUAAUAAUGUGUUUUUAAGUGAGUUAAGAGGUUAAGAGUGAGUGCGAUGGAAAGUAGAGUAAAAAUCUGCAGAUUUGCACUCACCCAGCCGUACUUUAGCGUAGCAGGUGGGUGAGUGGGAAAACUUGUACAAGCUCAAACCUGCUGACCUUUAGGGGUUAAUGCCCUAGAAGAGUGCCAGUCCAGGGUAGAGUCCCUUGAUAGAGAGAGUACCGACAUAGGCGGCCCUGUGUAUAAGGCUGCUGGGCGCCAUUAUUGGCCCCUCGAGCACCAUGCCGACUUUGAACUGAGGUAAUAAAAACAUAGGACAAUUUACAGUUUAACCCAACCAACGAUUUUGUCAUGUGGUUCAUGUUUUUCUGGUGAUAAAUGUAGUGAAUAGCAUGAUUUUGUACCUCAUUUCUGUCGCAAAUGUCUACUUUUUGAGUUAUGCCUUUUCAAGUUACAAGUUGGCAUUCAGUCAUUUUGCACACAUGCCAUUUCACCACACCAUGGAGUCAUUUCACCCAAGGUUACGGGUGGUACAUUUACCUCCCACUUGUUUUCCACGCAUUUCAAUUGAAAAAUUAACAUCUGUGCACAUAAGGCUAGUAUCAGAAAAAUAGCUGCAAAGGAUCUAUCGGAAAAAAAAUAUUGGGAUUUGCAGGGUACAAUAUUCACUCUUU
Long non-coding RNA from Eriocheir sinensis (Chinese mitten crab), 1620 nucleotides. RefSeq lists it as uncharacterized. NCBI's taxonomy places the organism in Eukaryota, Metazoa, Arthropoda, Malacostraca, Decapoda, Varunidae. The transcript is spliced from 3 exons. The record is from RefSeq and is a predicted model, not a curated record.